Molecule: ribosomal RNA, 500 nt
Filed under: uncultured bacterium
Lineage: Bacteria
Description: partial 16S ribosomal RNA
Rfam family: Bacterial small subunit ribosomal RNA
Source: RNAcentral
AUUGAACGCUGGCGGAAUGCUUUACACAUGCAAGUCGAACGGCAGCACGGACUUCGGUCUGGUGGCGAGUGGCGAACGGGUGAGUAAUAUAUCGGAACGUGCCCAGUCGUGGGGGAUAACAUAGCGAAAGUUACGCUAAUACCGCAUACGAUCUACGGAUGAAAGCGGGGGAUCGCAAGACCUCGCGCGAUUGGAGCGGCCGAUAUCAGAUUAGGUAGUUGGUGGGGUAAAGGCUCACCAAGCCAACGAUCUGUAGCUGGUCUGAGAGGACGAACAGCCACACUGGAACUGAGGCACGGUCCAGACUCCUACGGGAGGCAGCAGUGGGGAAUUUUGGACAAUGGACGCAAGUCUGAUCCAGCCAUUCCGCGUGCAGGAUGAAGGCCCUCGGGUUGUAAACUGCUUUUGUACAGAACGAAAAGGCUCUUCCUAAUACGGAGGGCUCAUGACGGUACUGUAAGAAUAAGCACCGGCUAACUACGUGCCAGCAGCCGCGGUAA